GAACGCUGGCGGCACGCCUCACACAUGCAAGUCGAACGGGGUCCAUCCACCCGCAAGAGUGGUGUAGACCUAGUGGCGAACGGGUGAGUAACACGUGAGAAACCUGCCCCGAAGACCGGGAUAACUCACCGAAAGGUGAGCUAAUACCGGAUGCCUUCACGACGUCUCAUGGCGAUGUGAAGAAAUGGAUUCCGCUUCGGGAGGGUCUCGCGGCCUAUCAGCUUGUUGGUGAGGUAACGGCUCACCAAGGCGACGACGGGUAGCUGUUCUGAGAGGAAGAUCAGCCACACUGGGACUGAGACACGGCCCAGACUCCUACGGGAGGCAGCAGUGGGGAAUCUUGCGCAAUGGGCGAAAGCCUGACGCAGCGAUGCCGCGUGCGGGAAGACGGCCUUCGGGUUGUAAACCGCUUUCAGCAGGGACGAAAUUGACGGUACCUGCAGAAGAAGCUCCGGCCAACUACGUGCCAGCAGCCGCGGUAAGACGUAGGGGGCGAGCGUUGUCCGGAAUUAUUGGGCGUAAAGGGCUCCUAGGCGGUUCAGUAAGUCGACUGUGAAAAUCCAAGGCUCAACCUUGGGACGCCAGUCGAUACUGCUGUGACUCGAGUUCGGUAGAGGAGUGUGGAAUUCCUGGUGUAGCGGUGAAAUGCGCAGAUAUCAGGAGGAACACCAACGGCGAAGGCAGCACUCUGGGCCGAUACU
RNAcentral lists this ribosomal RNA (701 nucleotides) under uncultured Actinomycetes bacterium. RNAcentral describes it as "bacterial SSU rRNA". It matches the Rfam family "Bacterial small subunit ribosomal RNA", at positions 31 to 741 of the family's 1533-position model. Lineage: Bacteria; Bacillati; Actinomycetota; Actinomycetes. The record is from RNAcentral.